UGCCCGUGGAGAUUCACCCGACUCCGCCAUGGCUCUCCCUCUCGUCUCAACACAAGGACGCAGCGUUGGUUCCAAUUAGCGGCUGAUCGUGUGCCUGGAUUUUAGGCCUCGACGCAAAACUGUUUUAGUCUACGUUCCUGCCAUAUGUUGUGCGACCCGUUAAGAUUGGAGAAUCGGACGCACGUUAAGAUUGGCUCACGGGAGAGGGCGUGCGGCCCGUUCCCAGAAUUUUUUUCGCCGAAGCAGAGAAAGGCGAGCUCAGAUCGGAGAAGAUAAGAGCACCAAGCCUGCAUCGCCGGCCGGCGGGCCGCUGGAGUCGGCGCUCCUCCACAUCAUGCAGCAACACCAACGCCUCCGCAGAGAGGGCGAAGUAGAGCGCCCUGAGCAGCGCGGCGCGGGUGGACGGCGGCGUGCAGGAGCUGUUCGUGAACGAGAAGCGCGUGGAGGCGGAGUCCCUCGGCCUGCUCGCCGCCGUCGCAGCGCUACCGGAAGCAGACCGACCACUGGCUAGCCGCCACCAACGACAUCAACUCCGUCCUCAAGGAAAUUGGGGAUUUUGAGAACUGGAUGAAGGUCAUGGUGUUUGACUGUGAAAGUAUCAAUGCUGCAGUCCGGAACAUUCAUCAGUGAUUCUGCUUGGCUCCUGCAACUCUGACGUUACCAAGUGUUCUCAUUCGUCUCUGCUCAGAUUGAUCGAUAUUUCAGUCCAGGUACAGGAGUCCAUGGCUGAAUCCCAAGAGAUCAUCGCCAAGCAAUCCAAGGUGCAAGGAUAUUUACAUUGACUAGCUAAAUUAAUGCACCUGAGUGGCUACGGAUUUCUUGGGUUUUUUUAAAUAGUUUUUUUAUAAUUUCUUUCAAGUAAGUAUUCUCUUAAAUUGUUUAUUAUUGGAGAAAACAGCUACAGUAUAUAUCUGUUUCUUCCUUUCUUUGUUGAAGAACAUCCAGAGAACUUACAUAUAUACUAUUUGUUCAAGCUCCUAAUUAAUGUUGAUCCGGUACAGUCAGGCAACGGCCUUCAUGCACUCAUUUACUUCGGACUCCAGUAUCUUGCAGAUGAUUAACCCCAACAAGCAAGGUCUGGAACCGAGAAGAAGGCAAGCAAUUAACCUGGGCAUCAACAGAAAUGAAAGGCUUUGAGAUUAUUAGAGCAGUUGUUCUGGAGCCGGUGCCGUUGGACUCGGAGCGCGACCUACAAGAGAAGAGAAAGGGCCAAGAAUUGAAGCCGUUUCCGUGCGUUUAGGCAAGUUCCAGCCCAAGCGCAAGCCCCUUUCCUAGGGAUAUCCAUCGCUCCGCCAUGCCGACCGCUCGAGAUUCGUGCAAGAACAAGAGGGAUAGGCAGAAUCUGAGAUUCCACUAGGAAAAGUGGAGCUUGAGGAUUGUCUACAGAAUAAAAUGUUUAGGGGCAAGAUUCUUUUGGAUGCUCGUGUUGAGAAUCAGAGAGCGAUGGUGGUUCCUGUCGUCUGGACGUCCAAAGCUGUUGAAGAUUGUGAUGCCUACAAAUGCACAGACGGCUAUACUAAUAGGACUGCUACGCCAAGAUACAAACUGGUUAUCAUGGCGGCUGAUGAGGGUUCAGCUGUGGAGAUGGUGUUUUAGUGGCAGAUUCUUACAGCCUAGGAUUCUACCCCUCGUGAAAUUUAGCGUUGAUUGGGAGGAAAUAUGUUGUUGAUGUGGCCGUUCCGUAUUCAUUUCACAGGGCCCGUAUCCCUCGUGAAAUUUAGCGUUGAUUGGGACGUCCCGAAGGUGGUGCAAUUUUUUCUCACUUUAUGUUGCUUGGUGUGCCAGCUGAUGUGUUACCUGAACCUCUACCUCCUUCAUUAGGUAAUAGUGCUCAUCACCUGAUUAUGCCUGUCCGUACUGAAAUCAAAGAUUGAUGGUCUUUCUA
Long non-coding RNA from Brachypodium distachyon (stiff brome), 1885 nucleotides. RefSeq lists it as uncharacterized. Lineage: Eukaryota; Viridiplantae; Streptophyta; Magnoliopsida; Poales; Poaceae. The transcript has 8 exons. The record is from RefSeq and is a predicted model, not a curated record.